This 361-nucleotide unclassified non-coding RNA is filed under the name uncultured bacterium. RNAcentral's name for it is "contains 16S-23S intergenic spacer region". The record is from RNAcentral.
UCCCUGUUGCCAGGGCAGUCUGAUUAGAAAAAUCCAACUAAUCACAAGGGUUGCGCUCGUUGAUGGACUUAACCAAACAUCUCACGACACGAGCUGACGACGGCCAUGCAACACCUGUCACUUGGUUCCGAAGCACUCUCUCCUUUCGGAGAAAUUCCAAGGAUGUCAAACCUGGGUAAGGUUCUUCGCUUACCAUCGAAUUAAAGAACACACUCCACCGCUUGUGCGGGUCCCCGUCAAUUCCUUUAUGUUUUAAGCUUGCGCUCGUACUCCACAGGCGGGAUGCUUAACGCGUUAGCUUCGCUACUACGAGGGUCGAUACUCAUAACAGCUAGCAUCCAUCGUUUACGGCGUGGACUAA